Long non-coding RNA from Octopus sinensis (East Asian common octopus), 422 nucleotides. RefSeq lists it as uncharacterized. The record is from RefSeq and is a predicted model, not a curated record. The transcript has 2 exons. Lineage: Eukaryota; Metazoa; Mollusca; Cephalopoda; Octopoda; Octopodidae.
ACAUACAUAUAUGUAUAUAUACAUAUUUGUAUCUAUAUGUAUAAAGCAAUAUAUGCAUUUGUGCAGGCAAUGGCAAAAUAAACUGUUGUUUCGCAGUUCGGUAAAGAGCAGGUUUGUAUCAGAUAUAUCUGUAAAUCUUCAAGCAGUGUGUGUGUGUGUGUGUGUAUGACCGUGUGCAUGUGUGCACCUGUGAGUGUUGUGUAUAUGUGUGUAUGAGUUUGACUAUAAUUAUGAUUAUGACUGUGGCUAUGACCAACAGCCCAACAAAUACUUUAAACAAUGUGAUUUUAACCAGAACAUUUGAUAGCAUAUGGACAAGGAAAAUUAAAACAAACUACAUACUUUAUACACAUAUUGAAUGCAACACACACCCCGAUUUGUUAAUGUAAUGAUAACGAUAUUAAUAAAAAUGAUAAUAUUAA